This 263-nucleotide ribosomal RNA is filed under the name uncultured bacterium. Its description in RNAcentral is "partial 16S ribosomal RNA". It matches the Rfam family "Bacterial small subunit ribosomal RNA", at positions 523 to 776 of the family's 1533-position model. The record is from RNAcentral.
UAGCGAAGGGGGCUAGCGUUGUUCGGAAUACUGGGCGUAAAGUGUGCGCAGGCGGCUUCUCAAGUCAAGGGGUGAAAGCCCAGAGCUCAACUCUGGAAUUGCCUUUUGAAGACUGAGUGGCUUGAGUACGAGAGAAGGUGAAGUGGAAAUUCCCAGUGUAGAGGUAGAAAUUCGUAGAUAUUGGGAAAGAACACCAAUGGCGAAGGCAGCUCGCUGGGACGGUACUGACGCUGAGACGCGAAAAGCGUGGGGGAGCAAACAGG